Molecule: ribosomal RNA, 253 nt
Filed under: uncultured bacterium
Lineage: Bacteria
Description: partial 16S ribosomal RNA
Rfam family: Bacterial small subunit ribosomal RNA
Source: RNAcentral
UACGGAGGGGGCUAGCGUUGUUCGGAAUUACUGGGCGUAAAGCGCACGUAGGCGGCGCGACAAGUCAGGGGUGAAAGGCCUGGGCUCAACCUGGGAACUGCCUUUGAUACUGGCGUGCUUGAGUCCGGAAGAGGGUGGCGGAAUUCCCAGUGUAGAGGUGAAAUUCGUAGAUAUUGGGAAGAACACCGGUGGCGAAGGCGGUCACCUGGUCCGGUACUGACGCUGAGGUGCGAAAGCGUGGGGAGCAAACAGG